ACCAGGUUCGUGCUGGUGCGGUGCAGGAAAUCCCGUCGGGCGUCGCGGACCUUGCGGUGGGCGCGGGCGACCUUGCUCUUGGCUUUGCGGCGGUUGGCCGAGCCGGGCUGCUUGCGGGCCAUGCGCCGCUGGUACCGGGCCAGAUUCCGCUGCUUCUUGUCCAGAUGCCGGGGGUUGGGGAUGCGCCGCCCGUCGGAGGUCACCGCGAAAUCCUUGAUCCCCAGAUCGAUCCCGAUGGCGUACCCGACCGGCGGCGCGGGGGCGGGGGCGUCGGUGUCGAUGCUGAAGGUGAGGUACCAGCGGCCGUCGGGCUCGCGGGAGACCACCACCAUGGUCGGGUCCAGCCCGGCCACGUCCACAUCAUCGAACGACCACACGAACGCGAGCGGCGCGGUGGUCUUGGCCAGCCGCAGCUCGCCGUUGCGCAUGCGGAACGCCGAGCGGGUGUAGUGCGCGGUCUGGCGGCCGGUGCGGCUCUUGAAUCUGGGAUACUUCGCGCGCCCGGCGAAGAAGUUGGCGAACGCGGUGUGCUGGUGCCGCAGCGCCUGCUGCAACGGCACGCUCGACACCUCCGACAAAAACGCCAGAUCCUGCGU
Non-coding RNA from Actinomadura sp., 596 nucleotides. NCBI's taxonomy places the organism in Bacteria, Bacillati, Actinomycetota, Actinomycetes, Streptosporangiales, Thermomonosporaceae. The record is from Rfam.